CUUGAUUUCACUCCCUCAUCUUUCACGGUUGAUAUCUGCUGCAGGUGGGACUUGAACCUGGGUCUCCUGCUCUAAAGGCUGGCAUACUACCACCAUACCACAAGAGCCCUUCGAAUUGGAAUAUCUUGAUAUUUUCCAGUCAAUCUGCUCAAGGCUGUUAUUACACUCCUCUGGAGCAGGGAAUUUUCUGAAUGAAAGUGUGCGAGGCUGACACGAGGUGUAAACGUUAUCAAUCAUCCGGAGGGAGGCAUUCUCUAAAUUAAGAAACUACUUAUGGUGAAGGUUACAGGAAUAUGGUUCCAAGGAUUCUCAUUUGAGAAAGGCAACAGAAAGAAAAGUCUCAUUGAAAAUUAUACGUUUACUUCUGAAAUGGACAGAAGUUCUUCAUAUGUGGAGAAACUGGCUUGUUCCUUUUAAAUUGAAGUUUUAUGUUCAUUUAUGUUUUCCCAUUUAAUGACGCUAGAGAAGGGCAAAGAUAAACUUUAUCCUCAAGAAGGAUAAUGGCAGAGGCACAGGAACAACACCAUCAACUAUCCAAAGGUCCUAUCCAAACAACACAAUCCUGACUUGGAAAUAAGUCACCCUGUCACU
Non-coding RNA from Chiloscyllium plagiosum (whitespotted bambooshark), 591 nucleotides. NCBI's taxonomy places the organism in Eukaryota, Metazoa, Chordata, Chondrichthyes, Orectolobiformes, Hemiscylliidae. The record is from RefSeq and is a predicted model, not a curated record.